Beta vulgaris subsp. vulgaris (sugar beet) is the source of this 1601-nucleotide long non-coding RNA. RefSeq lists it as uncharacterized. The transcript has 2 exons. Lineage: Eukaryota; Viridiplantae; Streptophyta; Magnoliopsida; Caryophyllales; Amaranthaceae. The record is from RefSeq and is a predicted model, not a curated record.
GUUUCAGUUGGUAUUGUUUUUGUUUCAGUUGGACUUUGUUUCUUUUCAGUUGGACUUUGUUUUCUUUCAGUUGGACUUUCUUUUCUUUCAGUUAGACUUUCUUUUCUUUCAGUUAGACUUCCUUUUCUUUCAGUUAGACUUUCUUUUCUUUCAGUUGGACUUUCUUUUCUUUCAGUUGGACUUUCUUUUCUUUCAGUUGGACCAACUAAAAGAAAUAAUGGGCCAACUGAAAGAAAUAACGGACUAACUGAAACAAAAUGAAGACUACCUGAAGAAAAAUGUAGACUACCUGAAAAAGAAUAAAGAUCAACUGAAACCCAAGUAAGUCUAACUGAAGCACAAAAACCCACUGAAAAACAAAGAAGACUAACUGAAAACAAAAUGAAGACUACCUGAAAAAAAAUUGGAACCACCUGAAAAAAAAUGAAGACUACCUGAAAAAAAAAUGGAACCACCUGAAAGUCGUCCGACCAAGAUUAUGGUCGGACGAGUCCGACACAAUACGUUCUCUAAAAAAUAUAUACUAUUUUAUUGCUCAUUACCCAAUUGAAAUCAUCCAAAUAUAUUAAGAAGGAGGGUUUCAAUUGAACAAAAGAGCAAAAAGAUAUAAUUUUGUGUAUCAUGCACAUGUACAUCCAAGUAGGGAUGUCAAUGGGGCGGUGCAAAAUUGCAACUUUAUUUGUAAUUUCUUUAUUAAUCAUCUAAUUGUGCAUCUUUUCGAUUUUUUUUUUGGUUUAUGAUUGACAUAUUAAAUGAUCAAGUACUUACAUCAUUAUUUUAACGUCCCUUUCAAAAACUUUGGACCAAAAAAUUGUUUAUUUUUCGGUGUAGACCGAAAAUUAAAACAUUCAAAAAACUUGGACUUAAUCAGGGCCCUAAUAUGUAGGCUCACCCUUGGGCCUCCAAAAUCUCAGAAACGGAACUGGAUUUAUCAUAUGUAAGUGGAAAGCGGCAGAAACAUGCUAGGUGGAUUGCGCAUUUUAAUUCUGGAGAAGAAACUGUCCACUUUUCUAUCAAUAAGAAGUUUCGAGAUUUGCGUGUGAGAUAUUACAUCAAAUAUAUUUGUUGCGAUGAAGAUAUUGAAUACAUUGAUGCUAAUGGAAUUUUGUGGCACGGAAUAGUACAUGAUGAGUUAGAAGAGAGAUUGGUGGCCGCAUUUGGGACACCUCCUCGACUCAAAUUAUUUAGAAAGGAUAAUCGUACAUUCGUACAUGAAAUGGUGUUUACUUUUGAUAUUGAACAAGACGGGAUUUUAGUUGACCAAAUUGUAGUGUUGCCUAAUUAUCCAUAUUCAGGCUGGUUACAACAAUUGUGGCAAGCACACAUAUGUUUGACAAGUUCCUACAAUGAUUUACAUCUGAUUCGGUUGCAAUUACAUAUUUGGAUUUUAUGUAGUUAGAAAGACAGAUUUUGGGUAGUUAGAAAGACAUAUUAUUAGAAAGAUAGUUGUGGCUGAAAGAUUAUGUGGGAUCAAUAGGUUGUAAUUACAUGUUAUUAUGUAGUUAGAAACAGAUUUUAUGUAGUUAGAAAGACAGAUUUUAUGUAGUUAGAAAGACAUUUGUUUUUAUUCUGUUUUAUUAUAUUGUUUUGGAAUUUGUUCA